Molecule: ribosomal RNA, 253 nt
Filed under: uncultured bacterium
Lineage: Bacteria
Description: partial 16S ribosomal RNA
Rfam family: Bacterial small subunit ribosomal RNA
Source: RNAcentral
UACGUAGGGUGCAAGCGUUAAUCGGAAUUAUUGGGCGUAAAGAGCUCGUAGGCGGCUUGUCGCGUCGGCUGUGAAAACCUGGGGCUCAACCCCGGGCCUGCAGCCGAUACGGGCAAGCUAGAAUUCGGUAGGGGAGACUGGAAUUCCUGGUGUAGCGGUGAAAUGCGCAGAUAUCAGGAAGAACACCAGUGGCGAAGGCGGCUCACUGGACUGGUAUUGACGCUGAUGUGCGAAAGCGUGGGGAGCAAACAGG